RNAcentral lists this long non-coding RNA (484 nucleotides) under Carica papaya (papaya). RNAcentral describes it as "long non-coding RNA (CPAP_LNC015540)". Lineage: Eukaryota; Viridiplantae; Streptophyta; Magnoliopsida; Brassicales; Caricaceae. The record is from RNAcentral.
AAUAAGGAAUGAGCUACACUAGCUCAGUAAAGACAUCACGAUAUCUCACCGUCACGGAGGUAAAGGUGGGUAGAAAACACAAAAAGACCAAUGGAGCAUAAUUUACAACAAAUCCUUUUAUUAAUAAUAAAACCUUUACCAUCCACUUACCUCGGUGGAAUUUAUAAAACAAUAUACGAAAGCAAUAACAUUAUCAUAAUCAUGGAAUCAUAUAAACUGUAAAACAUAACACUUAUCACGCCUUUUGUAAUUCAAUCAUUAUACAACAUAUCUUUUCCUCAUUUACCAGCCUACUAGUAUCCGUGGGGGUCCAUAGGGGUCCCGCUACCCGUUAACCUUUAACAUUCGUCAUCAGAUUCCAGGGCCGUCCCCAUACCCCGUCCGGUAUGGGCGCCAAAACCAUAAACCUCAAUACCCCGUUCGGUAUGAGGGUGAAACGGGCCGUCCCCAUACCCCAUCCGGUAUGGGCGCCAAAACCAUAAAC